UGCCACCCACUCUCUUCUGGAACUACAUGGAAGACACUCGAACAACACUGCAGGAAAUGAAGAGGAGAGACUUGGCAACAAAUGCGACAUGGUAACAUGCAGAAAGGAUAUAGAGGGUUUUUUGAGGAAACAAGAACAGAGGAAAGAAGAAAAAAUAAGAGAGAGGUUGAAAAAGGGAGGACAUGUGAGAUGCGGAGGAUGUUUAGGAUUGGACCGUCUCCUUUGAUCAGCGUUUUCAAAAUUGCUACGGGCUGCCUGGAAACUCCACCACUCUCUCUUUUCCUAAAACAGAUAGACAUGCACGCAAUAUAGUGACAGAGAGAGAAAGGGAUGAAAAAGCAAUAAAGAGAGGUGAAUGGAAUGGAAAAUGCGGGAAACAUGAAAGGUGAUACCCGCGUACAGACUGUUUCAUCUGCUGAGUGCGGCGAGAUGGAGCUUUGGGACACCAAACUACAUAACAUUUCAUAAGAAACACUGAGAAGGAGAGAGACUCCUGACUGAUAUUUUCACAUUAACACCUGUGGUGAACAGUUUGCAAUAAACCAAAACUGAAAAGAGUGUUGUAUUUUGAGUUUUACAUUUUUAACAAAUUUGAAUGGUGAUUGAUUUAUUUUAUUUCUCACUGUAUACCUACCAGUAUUAGAAGUAUUCUCCUUCUGAAAGACCCCUAAGGGCAAACAUGCUUUGGCAUCAGGAAUUAUGCUUUGACUCAGUUGUUCUGAAAUGGUGGGUCAGAACUGUUCUGACAGAGAA
This is a long non-coding RNA of Cyprinus carpio carpio, 753 nucleotides long. The record is from Ensembl. Lineage: Eukaryota; Metazoa; Chordata; Actinopteri; Cypriniformes; Cyprinidae.